UGCAAGUCGAGCGGCAGCGUGGUCCUUCGGGAUGCCGGCGAGCGGCGGACGGGUGAGUAAUGCCUAGGAAUCUGCCUGGUAGUGGGGGAUAACUCGGGGAAACUCGAGCUAAUACCGCAACGUCCUACGGGAGAAAGCGGGGGAUCUUCGGACCUCGCGCUACCAGAUGAGCCUAGGUCGGAUUAGCUAGUUGGUGAGGUAAAGGCUCACCAAGGCGACGAUCCGUAGCUGGUCUGAGAGGAUGAUCAGCCACACUGGAACUGAGACACGGUCCAGACUCCUACGGGAGGCAGCAGUGGGGAAUAUUGGACAAUGGGCGAAAGCCUGAUCCAGCCAUGCCGCGUGUGUGAAGAAGGUCUUCGGAUUGUAAAGCACUUUAAGUUGGGAGGAAGGGCAGUAAGCU
RNAcentral lists this ribosomal RNA (403 nucleotides) under Pseudomonas sp. SK F15. RNAcentral describes it as "bacterial SSU rRNA". It matches the Rfam family "Bacterial small subunit ribosomal RNA", at positions 56 to 461 of the family's 1533-position model. Lineage: Bacteria; Pseudomonadati; Pseudomonadota; Gammaproteobacteria; Pseudomonadales; Pseudomonadaceae. The record is from RNAcentral.